GUAGGUGGCAAGCGUUAUCCGGAAUUAUUGGGCGUAAAGCGCGCGCAGGCGGUUUCUUAAGUCUGAUGUGAAAGCCCACGGCUCAACCGUGGAGGGUCAUUGGAAACUGGGGAACUUGAGUGCAGAAGAGAAAAGCGGAAUUCCACGUGUAGCGGUGAAAUGCGUAGAGAUGUGGAGGAACACCAGUGGCGAAGGCGGCUUUUUGGUCUGUAACUGACGCUGAGGCGCGAAAGCGUGGGGAGCAAACAGGGAUUAGAUACCCUGGUAGUCCACGCCGUAAACGAUGAGUGCUAAGUGUUAGAGGGUUUUCCGCCCCUUUAGUGCUGCAGCUAACGCAUUAAGCACCCCCGCCUGGGGAUACGGUCGCAAGACUG
This 374-nucleotide ribosomal RNA is filed under the name uncultured organism. Its description in RNAcentral is "partial 16S ribosomal RNA". It matches the Rfam family "Bacterial small subunit ribosomal RNA", at positions 527 to 896 of the family's 1533-position model. The record is from RNAcentral.